Molecule: ribosomal RNA, 2901 nt
Filed under: Escherichia coli O169:H41
Lineage: Bacteria; Pseudomonadati; Pseudomonadota; Gammaproteobacteria; Enterobacterales; Enterobacteriaceae
Description: bacterial LSU rRNA
Rfam family: Bacterial large subunit ribosomal RNA
Source: RNAcentral
UUAAGCGACUAAGCGUACACGGUGGAUGCCCUGGCAGUCAGAGGCGAUGAAGGACGUGCUAAUCUGCGAUAAGCGUCGGUAAGGUGAUAUGAACCGUUAUAACCGGCGAUUUCCGAAUGGGGAAACCCAGUGUGUUUCGACACACUAUCAUUAACUGAAUCCAUAGGUUAAUGAGGCGAACCGGGGGAACUGAAACAUCUAAGUACCCCGAGGAAAAGAAAUCAACCGAGAUUCCCCCAGUAGCGGCGAGCGAACGGGGAGGAGCCCAGAGCCUGAAUCAGUGUGUGUGUUAGUGGAAGCGUCUGGAAAGGCGCGCGAUACAGGGUGACAGCCCCGUACACAAAAAUGCACAUGCUGUGAGCUCGAUGAGUAGGGCGGGACACGUGGUAUCCUGUCUGAAUAUGGGGGGACCAUCCUCCAAGGCUAAAUACUCCUGACUGACCGAUAGUGAACCAGUACCGUGAGGGAAAGGCGAAAAGAACCCCGGCGAGGGGAGUGAAAAAGAACCUGAACCCGUGUACGUACAAGCAGUGGGAGCCUCUUUUAUGGGGUGACUGCGUACCUUUUGUAUAAUGGGUCAGCGACUUAUAUUCUGUAGCAAGGUUAACCGAAUAGGGGAGCCGAAGGGAAACCGAGUCUUAACUGGGCGUUAAGUUGCAGGGUAUAGACCCGAAACCCGGUGAUCUAGCCAUGGGCAGGUUGAAGGUUGGGUAACACUAACUGGAGGACCGAACCGACUAAUGUUGAAAAAUUAGCGGAUGACUUGUGGCUGGGGGUGAAAGGCCAAUCAAACCGGGAGAUAGCUGGUUCUCCCCGAAAGCUAUUUAGGUAGCGCCUCGUGAAUUCAUCUCCGGGGGUAGAGCACUGUUUCGGCAAGGGGGUCAUCCCGACUUACCAACCCGAUGCAAACUGCGAAUACCGGAGAAUGUUAUCACGGGAGACACACGGCGGGUGCUAACGUCCGUCGUGAAGAGGGAAACAACCCAGACCGCCAGCUAAGGUCCCAAAGUCAUGGUUAAGUGGGAAACGAUGUGGGAAGGCCCAGACAGCCAGGAUGUUGGCUUAGAAGCAGCCAUCAUUUAAAGAAAGCGUAAUAGCUCACUGGUCGAGUCGGCCUGCGCGGAAGAUGUAACGGGGCUAAACCAUGCACCGAAGCUGCGGCAGCGACACUGUGUGUUGUUGGGUAGGGGAGCGUUCUGUAAGCCUGCGAAGGUGUGCUGUGAGGCAUGCUGGAGGUAUCAGAAGUGCGAAUGCUGACAUAAGUAACGAUAAAGCGGGUGAAAAGCCCGCUCGCCGGAAGACCAAGGGUUCCUGUCCAACGUUAAUCGGGGCAGGGUGAGUCGACCCCUAAGGCGAGGCCGAAAGGCGUAGUCGAUGGGAAACAGGUUAAUAUUCCUGUACUUGGUGUUACUGCGAAGGGGGGACGGAGAAGGCUAUGUUGGCCGGGCGACGGUUGUCCCGGUUUAAGCGUGUAGGCUGGUUUUCCAGGCAAAUCCGGAAAAUCAAGGCUGAGGCGUGAUGACGAGGCACUACGGUGCUGAAGCAACAAAUGCCCUGCUUCCAGGAAAAGCCUCUAAGCAUCAGGUAACAUCAAAUCGUACCCCAAACCGACACAGGUGGUCAGGUAGAGAAUACCAAGGCGCUUGAGAGAACUCGGGUGAAGGAACUAGGCAAAAUGGUGCCGUAACUUCGGGAGAAGGCACGCUGAUAUGUAGGUGAAGUCCCUCGCGGAUGGAGCUGAAAUCAGUCGAAGAUACCAGCUGGCUGCAACUGUUUAUUAAAAACACAGCACUGUGCAAACACGAAAGUGGACGUAUACGGUGUGACGCCUGCCCGGUGCCGGAAGGUUAAUUGAUGGGGUUAGCGCAAGCGAAGCUCUUGAUCGAAGCCCCGGUAAACGGCGGCCGUAACUAUAACGGUCCUAAGGUAGCGAAAUUCCUUGUCGGGUAAGUUCCGACCUGCACGAAUGGCGUAAUGAUGGCCAGGCUGUCUCCACCCGAGACUCAGUGAAAUUGAACUCGCUGUGAAGAUGCAGUGUACCCGCGGCAAGACGGAAAGACCCCGUGAACCUUUACUAUAGCUUGACACUGAACAUUGAGCCUUGAUGUGUAGGAUAGGUGGGAGGCUUAGAAGUGUGGACGCCAGUCUGCAUGGAGCCGACCUUGAAAUACCACCCUUUAAUGUUUGAUGUUCUAACGUUGACCCGUAAUCCGGGUUGCGGACAGUGUCUGGUGGAUAGUUUGACUGGGGCGGUCUCCUCCUAAAGAGUAACGGAGGAGCACGAAGGUUGGCUAAUCCUGGUCGGACAUCAGGAGGUUAGUGCAAUGGCAUAAGCCAGCUUGACUGCGAGCGUGACGGCGCGAGCAGGUGCGAAAGCAGGUCAUAGUGAUCCGGUGGUUCUGAAUGGAAGGGCCAUCGCUCAACGGAUAAAAGGUACUCCGGGGAUAACAGGCUGAUACCGCCCAAGAGUUCAUAUCGACGGCGGUGUUUGGCACCUCGAUGUCGGCUCAUCACAUCCUGGGGCUGAAGUAGGUCCCAAGGGUAUGGCUGUUCGCCAUUUAAAGUGGUACGCGAGCUGGGUUUAGAACGUCGUGAGACAGUUCGGUCCCUAUCUGCCGUGGGCGCUGGAGAACUGAGGGGGGCUGCUCCUAGUACGAGAGGACCGGAGUGGACGCAUCACUGGUGUUCGGGUUGUCAUGCCAAUGGCACUGCCCGGUAGCUAAAUGCGGAAGAGAUAAGUGCUGAAAGCAUCUAAGCACGAAACUUGCCCCGAGAUGAGUUCUCCCUGACUCCUUGAGAGUCCUGAAGGAACGUUGAAGACGACGACGUUGAUAGGCCGGGUGUGUAAGCGCAGCGAUGCGUUGAGCUAACCGGUACUAAUGAACCGUGAGGCUUAACCUU